GCGCCAGACUCCUACGGGAGGCAGCAGUGGGGAAUAUUGCACAAUGGGGGGAACCCUGAUGCAGCGACGCCGCGUGGGUGAAGAAGUCGUUCGUGACGUAAAGCCCUAUCAGCAGGGAAGAAAAUGACGGUACCUGACUAAGAAGCCCCGGCUAACUACGUGCCAGCAGCCGCGGGAAUACGUAGGGGGCAAGCGUUAUCCGGAUUUACUGGGUGUAAAGGGGGCGCAGACGGCAGCGCAAGCCAGGAGUGAAAGCCCGGGGCCCAACCCCGGGACUGCUCUUGGAACUGCGCGGCUGGAGUGCAGGAGGGGCAGGCGGAAUUCCUGGUGUAGCGGUGAAAUGCGUAGAUAUCAGGAGGAACACCGGUGGCGAAGGCGGCCUGCUGGACUGCGACUGACGUUGAGGCCCGAAAGCGUGGGGAGCAAACAGGAUUAGAUACCCCUGUAAA
RNAcentral lists this ribosomal RNA (449 nucleotides) under uncultured bacterium. RNAcentral describes it as "partial 16S ribosomal RNA". It matches the Rfam family "Bacterial small subunit ribosomal RNA", at positions 328 to 793 of the family's 1533-position model. The record is from RNAcentral.